AUGUAAAUGAGUAAUGGAAUUUCCACUGCACUUUUUAAUGUGUCUAGUUACAUUAAAACAUGAACAUGUGGAUGAGAUUUUGAACUAUAAAUCUAGAAGGAUGAAGUAUAUGGUAUUCUGUUAGUUUUUGAGGAUGGCCUGUUAGUUUUUGAGGAUUGCCUUUUCUCUGCAUAUUUUAAUUCUAUUUUCCAGAAAUGUCUUACUGAACUAUAAAAAAUAUAUCUCUCCAUCCAGUACCUCCUUAAAGUAUUUUUUUAUUUUGAAUGAAAUUAGAGGUGGCUACUGAUGUUACAAAGAAUCAUAGAUUGUUGUUGGCAAUGAGAAAGAACUCAUAUUUAAUCCAAGACAGGGUGGUCCCUCUAGGUUACUCACUGAUGAGACAAUAACAAUGGAAAAAUUUACAUCAUUGCGUUCUCUUUUUCUCACUGUUAAAUUGUGAACAAGUUCUUUCUGUAGUCCUGUUUUUAUGUCUGUUUCACAGGUUCAAAACAUUCUGGAGUGUUUUCUUCUUCAGUGGUAGUUCGCGAUGAUGACUUACUUCUUUAUAAAUUGCAUUGCCUGGGAAGCAGAUGUGGCUCAAGUGAUAAGGCCUCUGCCUAUCAUAUGGGAGGACCCAGGUUCAAUCCCUGGGACAUCCUGGUGAAGAAGAAGAGAAAGCAUGACUGCGUGUUGAGCCAAUGCCUAUGCGGUGAGCCGAGUACCUGCACAAGGGCCUGUGUAGUGAGCCACAUGAGUGCCCACGC
Molecule: long non-coding RNA, 743 nt
Filed under: Dasypus novemcinctus (nine-banded armadillo)
Lineage: Eukaryota; Metazoa; Chordata; Mammalia; Cingulata; Dasypodidae
Description: lncRNA (ENSDNOG00000051158.1)
Source: RNAcentral